CUCUCGGCAAUGGAUAUCUCGGCUCUUGCAUCGAUGAAGAACGUAGUGAAAUGCGAUACUUGGUGUGAAUUGCAGAAUCUCGCGAACCAUUGAGUCUUUGAACGCAAGUUGUGCCCGAGGCCUUGUGGUCGAGGGCACGCCUGCUUGGGCGUCAUGAC
Molecule: ribosomal RNA, 158 nt
Filed under: Curcuma harmandii
Lineage: Eukaryota; Viridiplantae; Streptophyta; Magnoliopsida; Zingiberales; Zingiberaceae
Description: 5.8S ribosomal RNA
Rfam family: 5.8S ribosomal RNA
About the family: 5.8S ribosomal RNA (5.8S rRNA) is a component of the large subunit of the eukaryotic ribosome.
Source: RNAcentral